RNAcentral lists this ribosomal RNA (492 nucleotides) under uncultured bacterium. RNAcentral's name for it is "partial 16S ribosomal RNA". It matches the Rfam family "Bacterial small subunit ribosomal RNA", at positions 28 to 507 of the family's 1533-position model. The record is from RNAcentral.
GAUGAACGCUAGCUAUAGGCUUAACACAUGCAAGUCGAGGGGAAACGGCAUUAUGUGCUUGCACAUUUUGGACGUCGACCGGCGCACGGGUGAGUAUCGCGUAUCCAACCUGCCCUUUACUUGGGGAUACCCCGUUGAAAGACGGCCUAAUACCCGAUGUAAUUCAUUGAUGGCAUCAGAUAUGAAUAAAAGGUUUAUCGGUAAAGGAUGGGGAUGCGUCUGAUUAGCUUGUUGGUGAGGUAACGGCUCACCAAGGCGACGAUCAGUAGGGGUUCUGAGAGGAAGGUCCCCCACAUUGGAACUGAGACACGGUCCAAACUCCUACGGGAGGCAGCAGUGAGGAAUAUUGGUCAAUGGGCGCAAGCCUGAACCAGCCAAGUAGCGUGCAGGAAGACGGCCCUAUGGGUUGUAAACUGCUUUUAUACGAGAAUAAUUUGAUGCACGUGUGCGUUAUUGCAUGUAUCGUAUGAAUAAGGACCGGCUAAUUCCGUG